Molecule: ribosomal RNA, 316 nt
Filed under: Cosmoscarta septempunctata
Lineage: Eukaryota; Metazoa; Arthropoda; Insecta; Hemiptera; Cercopidae
Description: SSU rRNA
Rfam family: Eukaryotic small subunit ribosomal RNA
Source: RNAcentral
CUUUCUUGAUUCGGUGGGUGGUGGUGCAUGGCCGUUCUUAGUUGGUGGAGCGAUUUGUCUGGUUAAUUCCGAUAACGAACGAGACUCUAGCCUGCUAACUAGGCGAUUUCCGGUACCCACAACAGUGUUACCGGCGAUUCAAUUUCUUCUUAGAGGGACAGGCGGCUCCUAGCCGCACGAGACUGAGCAAUAACAGGUCUGUGAUGCCCUUAGAUGUCCUGGGCCGCACGCGCGCUACACUGAAGGAAUCAGCGUGUCAUCCCUGGCCGACACCACCGGCCGCCGAUGUUGCCGGAAAGAUGACCAAACUUGAUCA